AGGCCGGGAACUCAAAGGAGACUGCCAGUGAUAAACUGGAGGAAGGUGGGGAUGACGUCAAGUCAUCAUGGCCCUUACGAGUAGGGCUACACACGUGCUACAAUGGCGCAUACAAAGAGAAGCGACCUCGCGAGAGCAAGCGGACCUCAUAAAGUGCGUCGUAGUCCGGAUUGGAGUCUGCAACUCGACUCCAUGAAGUCGGAAUCGCUAGUAAUCGUAGAUCAGAAUGCUACGGUGAAUACGUUCCCGGGCCUUGUACACACCGCCCGUCACACCAUGGGAGUGGGUUGCAAAAGAAGUAGGUAGCUUAACCUUCGGGAGGGCGCUUACCACUUUGUGAUUCAUGACUGGGGUGAAGUCGUAACAAGGUAACCGUAGGGGAACCUGCGGUUGGAUCACCUCCUU
RNAcentral lists this ribosomal RNA (405 nucleotides) under Enterobacter asburiae. RNAcentral describes it as "bacterial SSU rRNA". It matches the Rfam family "Bacterial small subunit ribosomal RNA", at positions 1128 to 1532 of the family's 1533-position model. RNAcentral also lists the same sequence under 2 other names. The record is from RNAcentral. Lineage: Bacteria; Pseudomonadati; Pseudomonadota; Gammaproteobacteria; Enterobacterales; Enterobacteriaceae.